CGCCCCAGCCUGGGAACCCCGAGCCGUGGGGACGAGGAGAAGGGGAAGCAGUUCGCUCAGCUGGAGGGCGGUGGACUGGCUGGGCUCAGAGAAGGGGCGAAAACAACAAGGCAGAGAUGCCCUGAGAGGAGGAGGAAGGGACCCGGGCUGGUGCGGCCGUCCGUGUGAAUGCAGCUGAGCUCCUCAAGGCCAAGAGGCAGGAGAGGGAGGAAAUGUCACAGUCUGAGGGCAUACACUGGAGACAGGGGUCAGCCCGGUGGAGGUGGCUUUGGGGCCCGGGAGAGCAAGGUAAGUCAGGUCCGGGUGCAGUUAGCAAGCCUGAGAGCCGCGUCCACAUCUGUGGCCCGAUCAGGGCAUGGAGGAGACAGAGCUCGGUGCCACUGCUUAGGGCUUGACCUUUCGUGGGCAAAGACUUGCCUGGGAGUCUCCCAAGAGAUUUUAGAUGCUCCGAGUCUGCACCUAGGAGCUCCACUGGCGGUGCUUGGAUCUGGCUUCGUGCUCUGUGGUUUUGAACGCACAGUCUUCGCGCUGCCCGGGGUCCAGGCGGCGGUGAGCAGUGAGGAGCUGUCUCAAGGCGUGAGUCUCUUCUCAGGCGAUCCCAGAUAAGAGGAAAUGAGAGAGAGGUUUUCUGACUUCCAACUCAUUAGGGACCAGCACUCUUGGAGCUCUGUGGGGUUUGUACAGACAAAACAUCACAGCAGAACCAUUACCAAGCUUCAGAGACAUUGUGGGGUCUCCUGCAAAUCAAAAUGUUUUUUAAUGUAUGACAUGUAUGAAGUUGAUGAAAAUUCAUGACUUUUCUCCAUCACGACUGUUUCAGCUGAGAAAGAUUCACUCUUCAUCACGGCAAGAGGGGGCACCUGUGGCCCUUAACAAAGUCGCCCUUCCCUCUGCUCCAUAGAAACCACCAGCCUCAGGAUAAAUAUUUUACUUUGGAUAUGCAUUUCACAAUCAACAAUAAAGAGAUCUCAAAAACACGUGAAUAAUCAGGCGAGCAACUGGAUAACUGAUUCCCACUAGGGAACCUAAGCGGUGUUCCGACGAGAGGAUGGCAGGAUUCUAAGACACUGGUACAGACAGACUGGAAUUGUAGAAAUGGCAGCAGACUUCCUGGUUGCCAUCUUGAUGAAGAGCAACACUACGGAAGUGCACUGAGUGGGGCAGCCCAGCAGACUCGGCCAUUAAAGGAACUAGAAAACAGACGCUCAGUGCUCUAUCCUCAUGCUACAUGCCAUAACACUGCGGGAGGGCGUCAAGCACCCGGGGAGCCUAACACCGGUGUUGGAGGCACUUUACAGAAAAAGAAGUCAAGGCUCGGAAGUUCAGCUCGGUCCUGCUUCUUUCACCAUCACAGCAUGACAGUUUCAUCGUUUUAAUUAAGUUUAAGAUGCGUCCUCCGAGGCAUAAGGUCUAAGUUCUACUUAGCGUAUGCUGGGCACGAGAAAUAAUAUUGGACACAUAAUGGGGAAUUUUCUCCUCUGUCCUCAGAGCGAUAGCUUUAGCCUGCGUAGAGUACUCCCGCAGGCUCACUCCGCAUUGCCUGGUGUCCUACCCGGAGUCACAGGCUUUGGAGACAAACCUGCCACGUUUGGAAUAGCAGUGGAGAUCCGAGUCAAUGUGGAAUUUAUACAGCAGCUGGUGCCAGUCAGGGCUAAUGAUGAGACUUCAGCUUAAUAAAAAGACCCCCAACUGAGCACAACCAUCUUGAAGAAAGUAUACUUCUCCAACAGCUUUCAAUCAGUUCAAGAGAGACACCUUAAUUGGGAAGAGGAAGAGCUGCGUGGCAGCCGUCGCCCUGCCAAUCUCGGAUCGAUAGCGUUGCCCCUGCUCUUCCGCGCACGUCGCCUCGCCUUACGCCAUCUGCACCCUCCCCACUGGAAUGGGGAUCUCUGUUUCAGCGGCGACUGUUUGGUGAUGCCCCCUUCUGAUUCACCCACUUUGCGCUAGCAGCCCUCGGUGAAGUCCAGAUGUGUAAUUAGGAAGCCCAAUGUCUUUAAAAUUAAAACUUCUGUUCCUUGUUAUUGGAAAUCAGUGCUUUUGACAUUUUGUGUUUAAAAAAAAAAACACAUUUUCUUGAAAUAAAGCCACACAAACGAAAUAAAAUUAUGGUGAUUUCACUUUAAGGAGAGACGGCUGAAUGGAUGGUAACCUGAGGAGAAUGCGCACCAUCUAUUAACGGGAAAGAGAAGAAGGGUGUGUUUCUUCUGGCAGGAAGGAGUUGCCAUACUGAAGGAGAGUUAUGACCGGACUGUCAAGCCUUAAUCUUCUCUUAGAAGGAAGUAGUCAUGUUUAAAGGCCUCUGGUAUCAGUGGUGCAGUGGGAACACUGGAGUGGCUAUACAGGUGAGGGAGCAAGGAAGAUGGCAAAGAAGCAGCCUAAGAGGUCAAGGCCCGAGAGGGAGCCUUCUGCAGUGCUCUUUGCUCAUUUCCGGUCCAGCCUGUUUCGUCCCGCUUUCCCCAGCCCUACCACCUUUGCUCCGGGUCCACCCCUUUCUCCUCUUUCCC
Molecule: long non-coding RNA, 2504 nt
Organism: Meriones unguiculatus (Mongolian gerbil)
Lineage: Eukaryota; Metazoa; Chordata; Mammalia; Rodentia; Muridae
Exons: 8
Source: RefSeq, a predicted model, not a curated record